CUGAAAUUGCUGAAAAGGAAGCGAUUGGAACCUUUACGAAUUGAGUGUGUGAAUGUCUUUUCGUAUCGAGUCCUGGGGAGGUAGGUUGUUCUCCGCUUUUUGUGGAGUGUCGCCUUUCUCCGGUAAAGCUAUAGAUAUGAGAACCGGGGAUCACACUUGAGAGGUCAGCAUCAGUUACGAACAGAGAAUUAGGGGUGYAAAAGGUAGGUUCCUUGUUUUUUUGGGCUGCUUUAUAGAUGCAUCAUUUCCAUCCUCUUGUCUGUGACUGAGGUUGUCGCAUGGAAUACGGAGCAAUGCCAUAUUCUGUGAUGCUGGCUWAAACGGUUUCAACCGACCCGUCUUGAAACACGGACCAAGGAGUCUAACAUAUGUGCGAGUAUGCGGGUGGCAAACCUGUAUGCAUAAUGAAAGUAAGAGUAGCGAUGUGGUUGUAUUAUUGUUNGUCUAUCCACAACANGUAAUCAAUCACUGCAGCUACGACCGACCAUGAUCUUUUCGUAGAGAGAGGUUUGAGUUGGAGCAUAUCUGUUAGGACCCGAAAGAUGGUGAACUAUGCCUGGGUAGAAUGAAGUCAGGGGAAACCCUGAUGGAGGUUCGUCGCGAUACUGACGUGCAAAUCGUUCGUCAAACUUGGGUAU
RNAcentral lists this ribosomal RNA (638 nucleotides) under Sarcocystis sp. RNAcentral's name for it is "LSU rRNA". It matches the Rfam family "Eukaryotic large subunit ribosomal RNA", at positions 399 to 918 of the family's 3401-position model. The record is from RNAcentral. Lineage: Eukaryota; Apicomplexa; Conoidasida; Eucoccidiorida; Sarcocystidae.